Molecule: long non-coding RNA, 325 nt
Organism: Helianthus annuus (common sunflower)
Lineage: Eukaryota; Viridiplantae; Streptophyta; Magnoliopsida; Asterales; Asteraceae
Exons: 3
Source: RefSeq, a predicted model, not a curated record
GUCUGGACGAUCGAACAAGGGAGCAGGGCAAGGUGAAACCCUAGUUUCACCAAAUCCAUCAAAUUCAGUAGGGAUUUCAAGGAAAAUCGAAUGCAUGAGCCUCUAUUCUUGAACAUCUAACCUUGUUAAUUGAUGUGGAUCGUGUCAAUAUGGGGGAAAGCACGGAAGGUUAACGGAACGAGGAAGAGGAAGCAUGUACGAAACGGACACUCGAGGUUAUACGAAUCACGAAUUAUCAUCACGAGGAUUAGUGAUCAAAGACCGAGUCACAAGAUAGAUUGUACGGGAAUGUUGGAGUAUGUAGUUUGGUAAAUACAAGUGAUGC